Long non-coding RNA from Anopheles funestus (African malaria mosquito), 7050 nucleotides. RefSeq lists it as uncharacterized. The transcript is spliced from 2 exons. The record is from RefSeq and is a predicted model, not a curated record. NCBI's taxonomy places the organism in Eukaryota, Metazoa, Arthropoda, Insecta, Diptera, Culicidae.
ACACUAUUGUACCGCCCGAUCCCCACGGGAAGAUCUACCAAACGCACCACCUGUGUAUACAGGGUACUCCACAUCUUAAUACAACGUCGCUUACUCCCUCGAGCAAUGAAUUGGGCAGAAUUGAGGGACCGAGGAAACGAAAAUUCAUGACGAGAGAGAGACAGAGAGAGCGAGAGAGAGAGAGAACAGAAAGAAGCUCAAAAAAACUCAACUCAAUACACUUGAGUUCGCACAAGCGAAACCAGAAUUCAGAGGUCGGCCACGGUUCGCACAGUGCCGGGGAGCUGCACGAGCGCGCGACAGUGGAAGUGGGUCGCUAAUAAAUAUGACAGAGGAAAAUUCAAGUUCACUGUCAAGGUCGUGCGCGAUACGCAGGCGCACCAACCGCCUCGGGAACAUAUCGCAUUGCAGGAGCACGCGAAACGGGCGAAACGUAUCGCGAACAAACCAUCGCCAAAAAGGGUUGGGUGAGGUGGGGGGCGAGGUAAAAGGAGAGAGGUUAUAGACAAGAGGAAGCAGGUAAGGGGAGCACAUACAGAGAUGGUACGCACACCAGCCAAAAAGGGAAGCGUUUCGUACAGUUCUUCAACACACAUUGAUAAUGGGGUGGAAUGACAGAAGGGGGCGCGGGGUGGGGGGGAGGCGAACAAAACAAAAACAAAAACAACAAACUAGCAUCUUGGAGGUUCAUCGCAACGAUCGAAGUAGCCAGCGCGGCAUAAGAAAACACGAGAGCCGGGUAAAAAAGGGAAGCAAGAGAAGAAAAAAAAACAUAAAAACACAUUAACACUCACACGCACACUGAACUGUUGCCUAUUGCCUCCUGUGGGAACAUUCUACUCACUGGCAAAAUGGCGAAGACAUCUUGGAAUUGAUCUACUCGAUCAAUGACGCACCCAUGAACAUGUAUUUGUGUGUGUUCGAGCACGAUCAUCCCCAGUUGUGAAACGGGCGGCUUCCAAUUAUGGGCAAAAUUGUAGGAACUCACUCAGCAAAACAGCUAAAACCGUUUCGAACCGGUCGCCAUUUGCUAUCGAUUAUUGUGCCCCGGCCCUGGUAAGGGCAAGAACUAAUUCAAAGCAGGUCCUAACCCACUGGAUAUCGGAUCACCCUCCCCCUGCGGGAGGGGGGCUGAGGAGUGCAAAACCAAAUUAAACGCUUCGAUUCGUGCGUUCUACUCUCAGCGGGACAUGGUUUUAUAGGCAUUAGCAACCAGUAACGGCCUAAUGUCUACACAUCGUAUGAUGAAUGCAGUUUUAUGUGCGUAUAUAUAUAUUUUUUUACUUAGUCUUUUCUCAUUCUUCUUCCUCUUUGUGGCCUUCCCCGAGUUAGCAUAGGUCAGGAAGGAAAUCGGAACCACAGCUGUCAAAUAGCACCCGUGGAAUGGGGUUGAUCGGAGACCGAUUGGGGUUGUGGGAAAACAAAAAGGGAACUACAACGGGACGGAGGGGAAUCUUAAUGCAUCGAACCGGAUGACAUCAUCAUCAACGUGCGCAUCAAUGGCGUUUGGAGGAUUUUAUUAUUUUAUUUGCCGCAAGCACAAGUUUACCCGUAACUGUUUAGCCACUGUUUGGAAUACGAUAUAAAAGGUAAAAAAAAUGAUGAAACUUUGUGCGCAAUUAACCAAUUUAAGCAAAUGCAACGCGUUACUUGAAGUAUUAUUUGUUGGCAUCUUUCCUAUUAGAGCAACAUUAGCAACAGCAAAAACACGUGCACACAGGGUGGUUUUGAUUGAAUGAAAAUAAUUUAAAACACACAACAAUUAUAUAAUUUAGAGCUUGUCAAUUUAUAACAAAUGCAUUUGUAGUAAUAUCAUACUAUAAAUGAAAGGUGAUAUAAAAUAUUAUUUUAGCAAUAUUUUACACUACACCACCCUGUACAGUUCACCCAAUUGCACAACCUACUUUGAUAGGGUGGAACGAUGUUCCUGUUCAUCCCUUUUCAACACCAUCAGUGAAAAUAUACGUACACACAAACACACACAGCCUCAGCUAUAAGCAAAGUGCAUUGGGGAGGUGGGGGGUUUCCUUUCCUCCCUUCCCACCCGCACGCUCUCUUCUUUCCAUCUCUCUUUCGCUCACCAUACUCUCGCUUUAGCCUUCCCGUUUACGGCUCCCGAAAGGGUCCCCGUUGGCUCGAAACAAGUAACAACUGUAGAACAAAUCGGAAAACGGGGCUGAAUCCAAAACAACAGAACACUGGGCGGUGCGUGUAGGAGGCACAAUCCGUAUGGCAGUGACCAAAACAUACACACACACACACACUGUUAGUCACCGUGGUUGGACGCGUUAGAACGCAAAUUGGAAAUCAAUUUUCGGCCUACCGCCACCCCCACCCCUAUCCGUACGGCUGUACGAGGACGGUGGAACAUUUUUGCAGCCAUUUUCAUUAUCGCCGCGACAGUCGAACGGUGUGGUCGUGGAAAACAACGCACCCAUUCCGAUUCCGGUAAGCUUCAGCAGUAGCAUCCAGUUGAAGGGAAAGCAGGGACAACCCAAAACACAACGCGACAACAAACAAUGGUGCUGGAAUCUGGAAUUUUCCACCGUACGCGGGACAAUUAUAAUGCUAAGUGUAUGUGUGUGUGUGUGUGUGCGUGUGUGGGUGGCCGGUGUCAGUGUGUUUAACAUCUCAGCAAAAGACAAAAUAAUGCAUAAAUAGAACCUUUUUUUAAUUUUAAUUAUAAACCCAAUACAAAACCGAAAUAGGGGUUGAAAAUUAAUGUUUGGAUUUUAUACAAACAACCCCCUUUCCGCCCAUUGUGGAAAUUUCCGCCCGGAUCCAUUUUUUAUUCGAGGUACUUUGAAAAUAAUAAUUUUCCGCCUGCUUCGAUGAUGGAUCGAAUGGUAAAGUAAAAUUAAAUAAAUUUAGAAAAAUCAACAGUAUAACAGCAUCCCCCCACCGCAUAUUCGUGUGUGACAGGCGCGCACGUCGUGCUAAACAGCGACGACGACAAAACGUUCGGGAAUGUCAAGAAAUUGCGUUGUACGAAAAAGUGUGCAAAUUCCCUCGGGAACCUCAGUAAACCCGCGGAUGUGGAAGUAGGUGGGAAAGGGGGUUGAUUAGGAGGUACGGGGGGGUAUGGGGGGUUGGUAGGGUGUGCCGGUACACUGUGUGUGAGGGGACAUGGGGUGGCUGAAUGAUGAUCACGGAGAUGCGGUCGAUGUGUUAGUGCGAUGAAACAGACGACGUGUGUGUGUGUUUGUGUGUGUGUGUAUGCGUGCGCGUUAUCCGUGUGCUGGCACCCGUGUGUUGGAGUAGGGAUUGGAUGUUGUUUGUUUUGUUCCCGCACUCAACCAUCGUCAGCCGAAUGGAGCAGAAGCCGUCGUCGUCGAACUGCCGAGAAUGGUUCCCGGAUCACCUGUGCGUAGUGAACGUCAAUUAGUCGACGUUGACGUACAUAUUGUGCCCGUCGUUCCAGUACCAAUUGGAAAACAUUCCUCUCAAACGAUUACAAGUGUGUUUGUUUUUCCUGUUUUUUUUUUUCUCUCGUGUGUUUUGAAAUUUUAAUGUGCGCUACACGCUUGUGACGUCUAUUUAUCUACUGGUGUUUAAAACUGUGGUAAGAAACAUGUGCAUUUUAGCAACAACAAAAAAGUGAACGUUGACAGAAGUCUGCUAAAGGCUUAACAAUAUUGUGAAAUUCCAUUUAUCAAACGCUUUAUUGGAUAAUGUAGUUUGCACUUAAAAUUAAAUGUCCCGCUUUCCGCAACAAAUUCAUCACAACCGUACCAAGCAUUGCGAUGAAAUGCAACGACUUCGCGUUGUAUUUGUGUGUGUAUGGAUGUGCAACGCUAGAAGGAACAAAAUUCGAUGCUAAUUGAAAUCGAAAGCCACCCUUCUGUGGGGUCGCAUUUCUACCACGUGUGUGUGUAUGUGUGUUGUGUGAAAGUGUGGAACGAUUGUACACGGUUUGGGUGGAUCGAUUUCAUCACCUGAUGCGGUGUCUUCACCAUACCGCAUCCCAGCUGACACGGGACGCAGGCAGAUGGAAUGCACGCGAAUGCACAAAAGCGCCCAGCUCAGCUGCGCAAUGCAAACGACAAACUCGCUGCAGUUAUUGUUGGUCUCCCCUAUAUUCGACGCCAUUGCUUAACGGCGUGUGUUGCUGUGUAUGUGGUUAUGAAAGAGAGAGAGAGAGCAAGAGAGAGAUAGUAAACGGGAGCGAUAAACGAACGAGCGCGAUGGCAGAUGGAGGCCAAUUAAUUCGCUAGUACCAUAAAACAUUCGCAGCUCCUUAGUGCCGAAGGUGAAAAUGAACCGAUGAAACAAUUGCAAACACACGACCACAUCCACCAUCGUGCCAUCGCAUUUACAUUUGCAGCACACAACAUUAAACUCCACGUACACGCAAGCACCAAACGAGGGGGGGAACAACCAAAGUUUUGCUAAGAAGUAGGCCACCACGAAGAAGUCUACCGAAACCGUGGCGGCGCACAAGAUUGUUGUGGAAAGAAAAAAUAUAUAUAUCCCUUCUCACCCCUCCCAACCCCACGCCCAACCCCGCAGCCGUAUCUCUUGUGCCCUUUUGCGAAGCGGGAGCAAAGUAUCGAAAGAUAGAUUGCCCCGUAGAGAUGUGGUAAUUUCAGGCAGCCAGCAAAUUGCAAAUACCUUGAACUUGUAACGGAAGAGCGAUGAAUGGUGCACACGAAGGAAGUGAGUUGAAUGGGAAGGGGUUGUAGGGAAUGGCGAGGGGAACUGGAUAGUUCCUUCACAUCCAUCUAAGGCACACACACACACAUUGCGCCCAACGUCUUCAGAUGAAAGCGAAAGACACAGAAGGAAAGUGUGCGCCAUACACCAUUCGAAGGAGGAAGCGAGUCAAACAGUUCCAGAUGUCUUUAGGUGCCAACAACACAACGGCAAAGGGAGGUAGCAUAAUGUAGAUGUUGGGGCAACAGCUGCUACACCCGGCCGGACGCCUUCUACCCCUCGACCGACCCGUCCCCAUUGGACGUGUGCAACGAGCAGUGGAGCAAGUUGAAAACGGGGAACCAGAUAAUGUGCCAUAGUUGUUAAACUUGAACUUGAACGUGAAACGAGUUCGCUCGUUUGGUAACAUCAACAUGCGCACAGCACACCCAGAUACGUGGUUUGGCGCUAGUAUUGGUGUAACUUCACCCCCAUUCUGCUGCUGCUCCACAUUAUCCCGGACCUGUUUCACCGCGAGUCACCACCCCCCUCUACCAACGCCCCACCGGCACAAAGGUCUCUGACGAACGCACGGUUCGUCUAUCUGUAUCGCGCGCACACACACACACACCAGCAAAGGUUCGGAGCGUGCCAACCAAACACUUGUCUCCAAACCAUGCUCUCCCACCACCACCACCCAAGUCACGCACAACCCCUACGAAACGUGAACACGACACGAUGGGGAUGAUUCAUUUUGUUGAUCUCCCCUUUCGCAGUAUGCAAUCAACAAAAAUGAGUGCCAAACGAGUGCCGAGUGCUCACCGUUGAGUGACUGACGAUUACAUCACACAUCCAGGGCGCAUACAAAAUGUCCAACAUUGGAUAAGUUUUCAGAUGAUCUGACAAACUGGGGCGUUAUUUAUUAAAACAAUUAUUAAAACAUUUUUAAACCUCAUCAACCAAUACCGUCCCUCCCAUCUAUGACCUCUCUAUGCUCUAAUUCCGCACACACACACAAACACCGUGCCAAUUAGAAACGGCACGUGUAUCGGCGGGCGUGAAACGUGACUCGUGAGUCACACGGCACCAUCGACUACCGCUAAUGGCAGCACCGUGUUUGGCGUCAUGUGGGAAGCGAUUGCGCAAAACGUGAGUGCAAAAUACCCCCACCGCACACCCAGAAAAAAGGGCAGGAAUCGUCUUCGUUCCGGUUUCAUCACAAAGGGCACCCGCGUAUGCGGGAGCGUAAUCGUUACGAAACGCAAAUUUUGAUAUUCAAUAUGCAGCAAAGAUCGCACGAAUAUGAGAUCGAGCAAGUGCACCUGCGUUAAUGGAAAGUUUAUGUGAAUAAGAUUAAAAAUAUCUUUUUAUAUGUUUCAAAUUAUAAAAAAACACUCUUCUUUUCUCAUUAUUUUGUGAAUAGAAUGUUAAUUAUGUUUAUUUAUUUAUUUUUAGGAAUUCUUCCUGCUAAACUCAAACAGCCCUGUUUCGUGCCGCUUUAGUCGAACCCUCAGCCACUGGGAUACUCCUUGUGCUCGCUGUGCAUAUCGAUUCAAACUAGUGAACACAUCUGGUGGUAUCUCAGUGGCCGGGUUGAGUUCUUACUGCACCGUGGAAUGCAUCGUGGAAAGAGAGCAGAAAACCAUUUUCCACUGCACUUCUUCAUUCGCCAACAGCCACGCUCGGGACAUGAUCAACGAGUCAUCAGCCAACGGCGCAGUGUCCGACGUGUAUUUUCCGAGCGGGGAAAAUGAGUGACUAUCUCGGCUCGGAAAAAUGAAAAGCUUGACGAGGAAAGCUACUGCUACCGUUGCCAUACAAUAAGCAUUGCAAUUCAUCGCUUCGUUAGCGCUCAUUUACGCCGAUGGAAGCUAAAGCCGACAGCAGCUAACCGUUGUGAGUUGUAUACAAAUUUAAAUCUUAUGUUGUAUACAAUUGUACACUACCCAGGUGUGUGAUUAGUAUUUCUCUAACUAGAAAAACAUAAUUUCUUUUCCGCUACCGACACGUUUCCCCAUGAACCAGCCUAAGUACGGUAGAAAAAAUAACGUUCAAAUAAGGGUUGAAAUAGAAACAGCCUAAAAGUAUGCAACCUGCAUGACGCAAAACGUGAACGGAUUUUCUUUUCGCAUUAGAAAGGAAAACUUUUUAUGUUAUUACAACGACACAUUUGAAUGGUUUGCUGUAAAUUGCUUUUUAAAUUCAGGUACAUUUUCACACACUAAUGACAUUAUUUUGGCUAGCGAAAAAUCGAGUUUUAGUUAAUCGCAACAUAUGGUCAUGGUUACCUUUGCGGAAAAGGUUAACACGCCCAAGAUAGUUGCCCCGUUGCUUCUAUGGUACACAGGCACACAAAUCGGGUGGUGAUGAAUAAUUAAUUUAACUAUCCCAACCCAAAACACUACCCCCCCCCCCCCC